This 28-nucleotide non-coding RNA is filed under the name Homo sapiens (human). Lineage: Eukaryota; Metazoa; Chordata; Mammalia; Primates; Hominidae. The record is from RNAcentral.
UGGAAAUGCCAGAAUGGGAAAGAUUGAA